AUGGAGGCCAUUGCUCGCACUGCUAUGUAUCCUCAGUACCGCUGCAAAAACAUAUACCUGGUGAGGCAUGCUCAAGGUAUUCAUAAUGUGGAAGGCGAAAAGGAUCAUAGUGCCUACAUGUCGCCUGCGCUGCUUGAUGCUCACAUUACCCCUUUGGGUUGGAGCCAAGUUGAUAGCCUGCGAGAACAUGUGACAAAAUGUGGACUAGACAAAAAGAUUGAGCUGGUUAUUGUUUCCCCUCUAUUGAGGACUAUGCAAACUGCAGUGGGGGUCUUUGGUCAUGGGAGCAAUACUGAUGAAGCAAGUGCAUCACCAUUAUUAAUGGUAGAAGGUGCUGGACACAGUGGACAUAAGGCUAUUUCAAGUUUGAACUGCCCACCAUUUCUUGCAGUUGAGGCCUGCAGGGAGCGCUUGGGUGUUCAUCCCUGUGACCGGAGGAGCAGCAUUACAAAAUAUCGUGCUCUCUUUCCUGCCAUUGAUUUUUCCUUGAUAGAGAACAAUGAAGAUGUUCUUUGGGAACCAGAAGUCAGAGAAACAAUUGAAUCUGUUGCUGCCAGGGGCAUGAAGUUUAUUGACUGGUUAUGGACAAGAGAAGAAAAAGACAUAGCUAUUGUCACCCACAGUAGUUUUUUGGAUUUCACUUUAAACAUGUAUGGUAAAGAGUGCCAUCCAGCCAUAGCAGAGGAACAGAGGAAGCGCUUUGCCAAUUGUGAACUUCGCUCAAUGGUGUUGGUCGAUGUAAGUAAGCUUGGAUCAGGAACCCAUACUUGUAAUUUCUCUGGGAAGAUACCAUUCGGACUUGAUCUUCCUAGUGAUGUUGUGGACAAGAAGUGA
This 834-nucleotide ribosomal RNA is filed under the name Triticum aestivum (bread wheat). RNAcentral describes it as "partial small subunit ribosomal RNA". The record is from RNAcentral. Lineage: Eukaryota; Viridiplantae; Streptophyta; Magnoliopsida; Poales; Poaceae.